This 280-nucleotide ribosomal RNA is filed under the name uncultured bacterium. RNAcentral's name for it is "partial 16S ribosomal RNA". It matches the Rfam family "Bacterial small subunit ribosomal RNA", at positions 335 to 623 of the family's 1533-position model. The record is from RNAcentral.
ACUCCUACGGGAGGCAGCAGUGGGGAAUAUUGCGCAAUGGGCGGAAGCCUGACGCAGCGACGCCGCGUGGGGGAUGACGGCCUUCGGGUUGUAAACCUCUUUCGGCCUUGACGAAGCUCUUCGGGGUGACGGUAGGGGUAGAAGAAGCACCGGCCAACUACGUGCCAGCAGCCGCGGUAAUACGUAGGGUGCGAGCGUUGUCCGGAAUUAUUGGGCGUAAAGAGCUCGUAGGCGGUCUGUCGCGUCGGUCGUGAAAACUUGGGGCUUAACCCUGAGCUUG